RNAcentral lists this long non-coding RNA (705 nucleotides) under Capra hircus (goat). Its description in RNAcentral is "lncRNA (ENSCHIG00010014332.1)". Lineage: Eukaryota; Metazoa; Chordata; Mammalia; Artiodactyla; Bovidae. The record is from RNAcentral.
AUGAGGGUAGGGCUGAUAGACUGUGAAGAGGAGGAAAAGGAAUUCGGGGUGAGGGAAAUACAAGACCUAGCCCGUAGCUCUGCCAGCAGGAGAGCAGUUGGGAGAGCAGGAGCCUCUCUACACAGAAGGGCUGAACAGCUCAUUCACAUCUCAACCUUUCUGUGUGGGGAGAGUGGUCUUGCUUCACCUCUGUCUUCCCCAUUCUGUAUUCCAAAUUCUUCAGUUCAAAUCCAAGUUCUAAGUUCUACCUUCUGGGUUCCUGUUCCAUUAUGUUUCCCUCCCGCAGAUUCUUCUCAGCUCCCAUUCCUUUUCUCAGCCUUUCUGGGUGGAAUAUGUGGACAUCCUGCCAACUUAGCUAAUUUGAGGGCUUUCCCUUUUGCUUCUUGAGGCAGUUCUAGGCUUUUUUCCAGCAGGAGGGUCUUGGCUCAGACUGUCCAGCAAGUGGGUGGCCCAGUGGAGUACAGGGAAUUCCUGAGAGCCUGGCCUGGCCUAACCUCCUCCCAGACCACCUUUAAUCACUGGACACACUACCUUUUGUGCAACUUAAGCUAAACUGAGGGUUUCCAGGGUGAUGAUUAUGAACUGGUGACCUUGAGAUGGGGAAUCUUAGGAGGAACCUAGGCAGCAUAUUAAAAUGCAGAGACAUUACUUUACUAACAGAAGUCUGUCUAGUCAAGGCUAUGGUUUUUCCAGUAGUCAUGUAUG